AGCAGCCGCGGUAAUUCCAGCUCCAAUAGCGUAUAUUAAAGUUGUUGCAGUUAAAAAGCUCGUAGUUGAAUUUCGGGGUUAGUAGGUUGGUCAUGCCUCCGGUAUGUACUGGUCUCACUGAUUCCUCCUUCCUGAUGAACCGUAAUGCCAUUAAUUUGGUGUUGCGGGGAAUUUGGACUGUUACUUUGAAAAAUUAGAGUGUUUAAAGCAAGCUAACGCUUGAAUACAUUAGCAUGGAAUAAUGAAAUAGGACGUUCGAUCCUAUUUUGUCGGUUUCUAGGAUUGACGUAAUGAUUAAUAGGGAUAGUUGGGGGCAUUAGUAUUCAAUUGUCAGAGGUGAAAUUCUUGGAUUUAUUGAAGACUAACUACUGCGAAAGCAUUUGCCAAGGAUGUUUUCAUUAAUCAAGAACGAAAGUUAGGGGAUCGAAGACGAUCAGAUACCGUCGUAGUCUUAACCAUAAACUAUGCCGACUAGGGAUCGGAUGAUGUAAUUUUUUAAUGACUCAUUCGGCGCCUUACG
Molecule: ribosomal RNA, 520 nt
Filed under: uncultured Glomeromycotina
Lineage: Eukaryota; Fungi; Glomeromycota
Description: SSU rRNA
Rfam family: Eukaryotic small subunit ribosomal RNA
Source: RNAcentral